UACCAGCUCCAGGUCUGGAUUUAAAUUCCCCCUCUUUCCAUCAGGUUACCACUUACCUUACAUCUUUGUUUUUCAGAGCUGGAGUGGCCAGAGGAACAGGGUGACAGUCACAGAACCACAGAGCCACAGAAUCCUGGGAUCAACAGGGAGACAAGGCAUGAAGCUGUGUUACUCCCAUCCCACUACAACAAUUCCCAUCUCUGCAGACAAAAUAAGGUCCUCUUCACGCCCUUCAGCAGAGGAUAUUUGUUCUUUGGGUUACACCCCUGACAUCGACAUCAGCUUGCCCAGGAACACGAGGGUUCAACCCAAAGGCUUUAUGACCACUGGAAAGAAACAACAUUCCCAAGCUGGAGAGCAGGCUGCACCACAAGCACUGCUCAAACCCAAAGCAGAGAAACAGCUUCUUCCUGGCUCUUAUCCCUGAAGUGGGAUAAGGCUGGGACACCCUCAGUGCCAGUCUUGCAGAGGGUGAGGGACAGAAGCAUUGUCCUCCUUCGCCUGCAGCUCCCGACACCAAAAAUUCCACGCUUCAAAGAUGAGAGUUGAAGAGAAGAAUGUAACUGCACCACUAAAGAUCACAUUGCAGUGUGUACAAGACAUGAUUGGAGAUGCUGGGGUAAAAAGUACUAAUAACUCAAGCCUGAGGCAAGCACCUGUCUCAGAAAGUUCAGGACAUGCAACAAAAGUUUGGAAAGCAAUACCAAGUAAGGUUCUCCUCUCAGUGGGCAGCUGAUAUCUCCAGUUUCCAAGGUCAAUCCCAGUACAUGCAUAAAAUCAUUUUCUUCUGCCUUCUUAUGUAUCUCUUUAAUUAUAAGAACCGAAAGCCUCCUGAUUUUUGCAUUAUAAGAAACUAUAAUUAAGCAUACUUGAGGAUUCCCUGUGUAUCUUGCUAUUCAGUAGUUUUAAUAGCAGCAUUUCAUUGCAAGUGAAGACCUAAAAUUGGAAUAGUUAGACUCAUUCUCACACUCUGCAAAUGUUUUUAAAACUGUUAUCCACAGUCAAGCCUUAACAGUGUACUCCAAUAAGCAGAGAGUUGGUAAUUAGUCCUAUGAUUAACACUUUCCUUAGCCUGCUAUUCUGUAGCAUUCCAUUGAUUUGCAGUAGUUUCAAUACUGGAAGAAUCCUGGAAAUAUCUGGUAGCUCUCUUACAUAUGCCUGAAUUAUAUUUUUAAAUGUAUAUAAAAAUGUUACAUACAUGUAAACAUGAAAAUAUUUUAUAUGCAUAAAAAUGCUGUUCUCCAUAUAAUGAUCUCAUUAUAGUUUAAUUUCCCACCUAAGGCUUCUCUAUUCAGGCCUUCUAAAUAUUCAGAGAGAUAAGUUGUAAAGUGUUGAAAUACUGAUGACAGGGAUCCCCAUCUUCCUUGCUGAAGGUAUCAAAGUAAUUGAUCUUCUCCUCUCUGUUUCCUCUCUUGUUGUCCUCAUGU
Molecule: long non-coding RNA, 1427 nt
Filed under: Cyanistes caeruleus (blue tit)
Lineage: Eukaryota; Metazoa; Chordata; Aves; Passeriformes; Paridae
Description: lncRNA (ENSCCEG00000009710.1)
Source: RNAcentral